CCUCUGGGGCAGGGCAGGUCAUUUUCUUUACCUCAGUCAGGGUUAGCUCUACAAGGACAGGGACCAAAACCAUGCUGCUGCUCUCAGAUCGCAGUGGGCAGCUCUGACCAGGUGACAAAGCUUGGGCUCAGGAAGCUGUUUCAAGGCCAUGGCCCCAAUCCUUGCAAGUGUCUGUCGUUGUCACAGAAACAGACUGCGGGCUUGAUGGAGGCGUGGAAAAAGCAGGGGCUCUGGGUCUUGGGGAGGAGCUGGGCUUGGGGAGGGGCUGGGCUUCCAGCCCACAGUGCACCUUGGGGAGGAGGGUCAGUUUGCCCUUCGGACCACCUACAGGAAACUCUACCUCCUUGUGUGAAUCAGACCCCUACCGGUCAAAUGUUCUGUGCUCCUCCAAGCCUCAGGAAAUCUGGCCUGAACCAGCCAAAUUCUAGAAGCCCACACACUUCCUUCUCUUGCCUAUAGCUCUGUCUCGGGUGCCAGUUUUAUGUAUCCACUGAGGUAGUGAGAACUUGUCCUGGCCGUGGGGACUCUCCAGUGUUUCCUCUCAGUGACCUUCUCAGCACAGACUGAAGCCCUCAGGUAGUUUGGCCUCUUUAGAGUGACUGAGCCUGGCUGGGGUGGGCCAGAGGUCAUGGGACAGCCUGGCUUAUCCUCAGAUGACCUCUUCCUUCUCCACCGCUGAGGACACAAACAUUCAAGCCUGCCUCCUAUCGUAAGCAGAUAUGGAAAUACUUCUUUCAUCUCCCAGCGAGCUGCUGUAUUACCAGAGCUGGACGGGACCUGUGCUCUGCCUUCUACUGUCACUCUGAAACUAUCCCCUGUCCCCCCGAAUCGAGAGAGGACCCCCCUCAGGAAGCAGAUGUCCAUUUCUCUAGGAAACACUCCUUCCUGCCGGAGCAGCCCCUGGAUUUUCCACUGCAGGGGAAUGAAAGUGAAGCCUGGUGCAACCUGAGCCGCAGCACAAUACCGAUCGGCCGUGAGAUGGUGGCACGUACCUGCCUCUUCUCGGAGGAUGGACGAGUCGAACCGGGCACAAGCAUGGAGCUGCGGAUGAGUCCUGGCUGGUACUGGCGCGGCGCAGCGAGCAGUGGCUGACGCAGAGGGCUCCCUGGCCUCGCUCGGUGCCUG
Long non-coding RNA from Alexandromys fortis (reed vole), 1125 nucleotides. RefSeq lists it as uncharacterized. The transcript is spliced from 5 exons. NCBI's taxonomy places the organism in Eukaryota, Metazoa, Chordata, Mammalia, Rodentia, Cricetidae. The record is from RefSeq and is a predicted model, not a curated record.